AGCGUACACGGUGGAUGCCCUGGCAGUCAGAGGCGAUGAAGGACGUGCUAAUCUGCGAUAAGCGUCGGUAAGGUGAUAUGAACCGUUAUAACCGGCGAUUUCCGAAUGGGGAAACCCAGUGUGAUUCGUCACACUAUCAUUAACUGAAUCCAUAGGUUAAUGAGGCGAACCGGGGGAACUGAAACAUCUAAGUACCCCGAGGAAAAGAAAUCAACCGAGAUUCCCCCAGUAGCGGCGAGCGAACGGGGAGCAGCCCAGAGCCUGAAUCAGUGUGUGUGUUAGUGGAAGCGUCUGGAAAGGCGCGCGAUACAGGGUGACAGCCCCGUACACAAAAAUGCACAUACUGUGAGCUCGAUGAGUAGGGCGGGACACGUGGUAUCCUGUCUGAAUAUGGGGGGACCAUCCUCCAAGGCUAAAUACUCCUGACUGACCGAUAGUGAACCAGUACCGUGAGGGAAAGGCGAAAAGAACCCCGGCGAGGGGAGUGAAAAAGAACCUGAAACCGUGUACGUACAAGCAGUGGGAGCACGCUUAGGCGUGUGACUGCGUACCUUUUGUAUAAUGGGUCAGCGACUUAUAUUCUGUAGCAAGGUUAACCGAAUAGGGGAGCCGAAGGGAAACCGAGUCUUAACUGGGCGUUAAGUUGCAGGGUAUAGACCCGAAACCCGGUGAUCUAGCCAUGGGCAGGUUGAAGGUUGGGUAACACUAACUGGAGGACCGAACCGACUAAUGUUGAAAAAUUAGCGGAUGACUUGUGGCUGGGGGUGAAAGGCCAAUCAAACCGGGAGAUAGCUGGUUCUCCCCGAAAGCUAUUUAGGUAGCGCCUCGUGAAUUCAUCUCCGGGGGUAGAGCACUGUUUCGGCAAGGGGGUCAUCCCGACUUACCAACCCGAUGCAAACUGCGAAUACCGGAGAAUGUUAUCACGGGAGACACACGGCGGGUGCUAACGUCCGUCGUGAAGAGGGAAACAACCCAGACCGCCAGCUAAGGUCCCAAAGUCAUGGUUAAGUGGGAAACGAUGUGGGAAGGCCCAGACAGCCAGGAUGUUGGCUUAGAAGCAGCCAUCAUUUAAAGAAAGCGUAAUAGCUCACUGGUCGAGUCGGCCUGCGCGGAAGAUGUAACGGGGCUAAACCAUGCACCGAAGCUGCGGCAGCGACGCUUAUGCGUUGUUGGGUAGGGGAGCGUUCUGUAAGCCUGUGAAGGUGUGCUGUGAGGCAUGCUGGAGGUAUCAGAAGUGCGAAUGCUGACAUAAGUAACGAUAAAGCGGGUGAAAAGCCCGCUCGCCGGAAGACCAAGGGUUCCUGUCCAACGUUAAUCGGGGCAGGGUGAGUCGACCCCUAAGGCGAGGCCGAAAGGCGUAGUCGAUGGGAAACAGGUUAAUAUUCCUGUACUUGGUGUUACUGCGAAGGGGGGACGGAGAAGGCUAUGUUGGCCGGGCGACGGUUGUCCCGGUUUAAGCGUGUAGGCUGGUUUUCCAGGCAAAUCCGGAAAAUCAAGGCUGAGGCGUGAUGACGAGGCACUACGGUGCUGAAGCAACAAAUGCCCUGCUUCCAGGAAAAGCCUCUAAGCAUCAGGUAACAUCAAAUCGUACCCCAAACCGACACAGGUGGUCAGGUAGAGAAUACCAAGGCGCUUGAGAGAACUCGGGUGAAGGAACUAGGCAAAAUGGUGCCGUAACUUCGGGAGAAGGCACGCUGAUAUGUAGGUGAAGUCCCUCGCGGAUGGAGCUGAAAUCAGUCGAAGAUACCAGCUGGCUGCAACUGUUUAUUAAAAACACAGCACUGUGCAAACACGAAAGUGGACGUAUACGGUGUGACGCCUGCCCGGUGCCGGAAGGUUAAUUGAUGGGGUCAGCGCAAGCGAAGCUCUUGAUCGAAGCCCCGGUAAACGGCGGCCGUAACUAUAACGGUCCUAAGGUAGCGAAAUUCCUUGUCGGGUAAGUUCCGACCUGCACGAAUGGCGUAAUGAUGGCCAGGCUGUCUCCACCCGAGACUCAGUGAAAUUGAACUCGCUGUGAAGAUGCAGUGUACCCGCGGCAAGACGGAAAGACCCCGUGAACCUUUACUAUAGCUUGACACUGAACAUUGAGCCUUGAUGUGUAGGAUAGGUGGGAGGCUUAGAAGUGUGGACGCCAGUCUGCAUGGAGCCGACCUUGAAAUACCACCCUUUAAUGUUUGAUGUUCUAACGUUGACCCGUAAUCCGGGUUGCGGACAGUGUCUGGUGGGUAGUUUGACUGGGGCGGUCUCCUCCUAAAGAGUAACGGAGGAGCACGAAGGUUGGCUAAUCCUGGUCGGACAUCAGGAGGUUAGUGCAAUGGCAUAAGCCAGCUUGACUGCGAGCGUGACGGCGCGAGCAGGUGCGAAAGCAGGUCAUAGUGAUCCGGUGGUUCUGAAUGGAAGGGCCAUCGCUCAACGGAUAAAAGGUACUCCGGGGAUAACAGGCUGAUACCGCCCAAGAGUUCAUAUCGACGGCGGUGUUUGGCACCUCGAUGUCGGCUCAUCACAUCCUGGGGCUGAAGUAGGUCCCAAGGGUAUGGCUGUUCGCCAUUUAAAGUGGUACGCGAGCUGGGUUUAGAACGUCGUGAGACAGUUCGGUCCCUAUCUGCCGUGGGCGCUGGAGAACUGAGGGGGGCUGCUCCUAGUACGAGAGGACCGGAGUGGACGCAUCACUGGUGUUCGGGUUGUCAUGCCAAUGGCACUGCCCGGUAGCUAAAUGCGGAAGAGAUAAGUGCUGAAAGCAUCUAAGCACGAAACUUGCCCCGAGAUGAGUUCUCCCUGACUCCUUGA
RNAcentral lists this ribosomal RNA (2787 nucleotides) under Escherichia coli. RNAcentral's name for it is "bacterial LSU rRNA". It matches the Rfam family "Bacterial large subunit ribosomal RNA". Lineage: Bacteria; Pseudomonadati; Pseudomonadota; Gammaproteobacteria; Enterobacterales; Enterobacteriaceae. The record is from RNAcentral.